Molecule: ribosomal RNA, 437 nt
Filed under: uncultured Clostridium sp.
Lineage: Bacteria; Bacillati; Bacillota; Clostridia; Eubacteriales; Clostridiaceae
Also listed under: 1 other name
Description: partial 16S ribosomal RNA
Rfam family: Bacterial small subunit ribosomal RNA
Source: RNAcentral
ACGGAAGGCAGCAGUUGGGAAUAUUGGACAAUGGAGGAAACUCUGAUCCAGUGACGCCGCGUGAAGGAAGAAGGUCUUCGGAUUGUAAACUUAUUUUGUCAGGGAAGAAAACAAUGACUGUACCUGAAGAAAAAGCACCGGCUAACUACGUGCCAGCAGCCGCGGUAAUACGUAGGGUGCAAGCGUUAUCCGGAUUUACUGGGUGUAAAGGGCGAGUAGACGGCGAUGCAAGUCAGAUGUGAAAUGCUAGGGCUUAACCUUAGAACUGCAUCUGAAACUGUAUUGCUAGAGUGCAGGAGAGGUAAACGGAAUUCCUAGUGUAGCGGUGAAAUGCGUAGAUAUUAGGAGGAACAUCAGUGGCGAAGGCGGUUUACUGGACUGUAACUGACGUUGAGGCGCGAAAGUGUGGGGAGCAAACAGGAUUAGAUACCCUGGUA